GACGGAGGGUGCUAGCGUUGUUCGGAAUCACUGGGCGUAAAGAGCUCGUAGGCGGCUUGUCGCGUCGUCCGUGAAAACCCACAGCUCAACUGUGGGCUUGCGGUCGAUACGGGCAGGCUAGAGUUCGGUAGGGGAGACUGGAAUUCCUGGUGUAGCGGUGAAAUGCGCAGAUAUCAGGAGGAACACCGAUGGCGAAGGCAGCUCGCUGGGACGGUACUGACGCUGAGGCGCGAAAGCGUGGGGAGCGAACAGG
RNAcentral lists this ribosomal RNA (253 nucleotides) under uncultured bacterium. RNAcentral describes it as "partial 16S ribosomal RNA". It matches the Rfam family "Bacterial small subunit ribosomal RNA", at positions 524 to 776 of the family's 1533-position model. The record is from RNAcentral.